Molecule: long non-coding RNA, 1882 nt
Organism: Centruroides sculpturatus (bark scorpion)
Lineage: Eukaryota; Metazoa; Arthropoda; Arachnida; Scorpiones; Buthidae
Exons: 4
Source: RefSeq, a predicted model, not a curated record
UUUAAAAAAUUUUGAAUUAGCUGUAUGUGGUAGUAUAUGGAAACUGAAGCUCGGUAUUCGGGCUACGGCAGUCGGAUGUGCCACAGGAGGAACAUUAGGGCUCAUCUGUGGUUGUACGACCGCUGCUCUCCUGUGGGCCGCCGGGACGUCAGUCGAAGAAUUGAGAUACUGGCAUCACGAAUAUUGGGAAAAGGAAUACAUGAGGAGAAUCAAGUCACUCCAAGAGAAAAAACCGGAUGGACUUGCUGAGUGAGAAUCCAGUAGUGAUGAAGGAAAAGAAAAUCAUCAUCCGUAGCAAAAUUUAUUUCUGUAAAAUAUAUAGAAAUACAGGAAUAAAGUGCCAACCCUGCGGUCACGGUAUUGUGGAGAGCGAAACACCAUCUGCUGGCGAGACAACGAGAGCGGGACGAGACGUGACUUCGCGAGAGGAGACGACGGUUGAAGAAGACGCGCAAAAAGACGAAAGACGAGAAAGAAGUCCUACAUUUGUUCUUUUUAUAAUACUCACAAUAUAUUUUUAUGUAAUUUGUAUUCCUUCAAACGUUCCUGUUAUCCACAUCUUUCUUGUUUCAAUUAAAGUUUUUCAAAAGACAAAGAAAAGUCUGACAGUAUUAAUUGAAAUUUGUACGCGCCUCCUUUGGGAAAUUGUCUGUCAAGGCAUUAAACCUAAGACUGGUGCCUUUGUCUUUGUUCUAUUUUAAUACUUUGUAACAGCAAAGAACGUGCUGCCGUGAUCUUAAAUUCUGCAUCCUCUUUGUUCACAACUGAAUGUAACAUCUCAUUGUCGGGAUUAGUUUCAUGUUAUUUUCGAUUUUAUACUUGUAACUCCAAGUUAUAUCCUUUGCUUUACACCCAAAAGGGUGCUGCUGUAAAAUAUCUCUUGUUGCACCAUUUGCAGUUAUCUUAUGUAUUACCCUCAGUACGGGUAUUUUGUCACACUGUUAAUGUAUUUUGUUAAAUAAUGUACUGAUGCUGACGUCCAUGAGACUUCCAGUUUUAUUCCCUUUCCUAUUUAACUUUACUUUUUCCCUUUGCCUCUUCUCUUAAUUCUUUUCCACUUAAUCCAUUUCAAACCAGGCAAUACCUACAAGUGGCCCUGGUCUUCAUCCCCUUUAAGUUAGAAUGUAUCUAGAAUGUAUCCAUUGUCACACACAUCAUGGAUGGUACUCACAUCAUGCCCGACAACUGUGCACGUCAACAAACUGAGCUUGUGCAGCUCCAGUAUAUGGUCUCGUUAACAAAAAAUAGUUAAUGAAUGGUAAACUACUGUCUUCAAGAUUUAAUUACAUUUACAAACAUACUUGGUCCAAAGUAUUAUAUACCAAAGAAUGUAAUCGAGUAACAAGAGGAUACUUUCCUACAGAAUCUUGUAACUCAAUCAGGGAUUACUUUGACAUAAUUUAUUGUUCCAAGCAGCAAAUACUAAAAUCUGCAUUUUAAAUUUUCGUCGACUUUUGUAAACUGGAAUUUGUCCUUAUCUCAAAUUAUUAUAAAAUUGAAAUAAAAUUAAUGAUAAAAUAUUCCAAAGCAAUCAGUGGAUCAAGAAAUACUUCAUUUUAUUUUUAUGACUUAUAAAAUGUGAUCUUAAUCAUUAAACUGUACAAAGUAUGAAAAUUUGAUCUACAAAAAGAUUAUUUUUAUAGAAAAGAUUUGGAUGUGGUAUCUGUUUAUUGUUAUUCAUUUGAUGGAGAUACAAAAUAUCUCAAAAACCACUUAAUCAGAAUGAGCUGCAUUUUGUUAAUUAAAAUAUAGUUUACUUUUUUUUCAUAAUUUCUAAUGAAAAAUAGAAAAAAAAUCAUUUCAAAAUAUUAAUAUUCUGUAACAUAAUAUUAUCAUGUACUUAAUUCCAUAGUAUAAAUAUUUAUAAAUUGGUCUUUCAAAA